This 293-nucleotide ribosomal RNA is filed under the name uncultured bacterium. Its description in RNAcentral is "partial 16S ribosomal RNA". It matches the Rfam family "Bacterial small subunit ribosomal RNA", at positions 505 to 796 of the family's 1533-position model. The record is from RNAcentral.
GUGCCAGCCGCCGCGGUAACACGUAGGGGGCGAGCGUUGUCCGGAUUUAUUGGGCGUAAAGAGCUCGUAGGCGGCUUGGUAAGUCAGGUGUGAAACCCCCGGGCUCAACCCGGGGACGCCACCUGAUACUGCUAUGGCUUGAGUCCGGUAGGGGAGCGUGGAAUUCCUGGUGUAGCGGUGAAAUGCGCAGAUAUCAGGAGGAACACCAGCGGCGAAGGCGGCGCUCUGGGCCGGAACUGACGCUGAGGAGCGAAAGCGUGGGGAGCAAACAGGAUUAGAAACCCUAGUAGUCC